UGUUAAAAAUUUCAUCAAUUUCUGCUGUUUAACACUGGCAUGGCUAACAGAAUAAUUAAAUAGUAAGACGUGGCAUGCCAUACGUACCAAAUGUUGAUGUAUAGGGACCAAACUUUAACUGUAAAAAUGGAUGAAUUUUUUAAUA
Gossypium hirsutum (cotton) is the source of this 145-nucleotide non-coding RNA. NCBI's taxonomy places the organism in Eukaryota, Viridiplantae, Streptophyta, Magnoliopsida, Malvales, Malvaceae. The record is from Rfam.